This 439-nucleotide ribosomal RNA is filed under the name uncultured bacterium. RNAcentral describes it as "partial 16S ribosomal RNA". It matches the Rfam family "Bacterial small subunit ribosomal RNA", at positions 338 to 795 of the family's 1533-position model. The record is from RNAcentral.
CCUACGGGUGGCAGCAGUGGGGAAUAUUGCACAAUGGGCGAAAGCCUGAUGCAGCGACGCCGCGUGAGCGAUGAAGGCCUUCGGGUCGUAAAGCUCUGUCCUCAAGGAAGAUCAUGACGGUGCUUGAGGAGGAAGCACUGGCUAACUACGUGCCAGCAGCCGCGGUAAUACGUCGGGGGCUAGCGGUAUCCGGAAUUACUGGGCGUAACGGGUGCGUAGGGGGUUUCUUAAGUCAGAGGUGAAAGGCUACGGCGCAACCGUAGUAAGCCUUGGAAACUGGGACACUUGAGUGCAGGAGAGGAGAGUGGAAUUCCGAGUGUAGCGGUGAAAUGCGUAGAUAUUAGGAGGAACACCAGUUGCGAAGGCGGCUCUCUGGACUGUAACUGACACUGAGGCACGAAAGCGUGGGGAGCAAACAGGAUUAGAUACCCCAGUAGUC